This 502-nucleotide ribosomal RNA is filed under the name uncultured bacterium. RNAcentral describes it as "bacterial SSU rRNA". It matches the Rfam family "Bacterial small subunit ribosomal RNA", at positions 1 to 507 of the family's 1533-position model. The record is from RNAcentral.
CAGUAGUCACGAGUUUGAUCCUGGCUCAGAUUGAACGCUGGCGGCAGGCCUAACACAUGCAAGUCGAGCGGGGGUUUUCGGACCUAGCGGCGGACGGGUGAGUAAUGCGUAGGAAGCUACCCGAUAGAGGGGGAUACCAGUUGGAAACGACUGUUAAUACCGCAUAAUGUCUACGGACCAAAGUGUGGGACCUUCGGGCCACAUGCUAUCGGAUGCGCCUACGUGGGAUUAGCUAGUUGGUGAGGUAAUGGCUCACCAAGGCGACGAUCCGUAACUGGUCUGAGAGGAUGAUCAGUCACACUGGAACUGAGACACGGUCCAGACUCCUACGGGAGGCAGCAGUGGGGAAUAUUGGACAAUGGGCGAAAGCCUGAUCCAGCCAUGCCGCGUGUGUGAAGAAGGUCUUCGGAUUGUAAAGCACUUUAAGUUGGGAGGAAGGGUAGUAACCUAAUACGUUGCUACUUUGACGUUACCGACAGAAUAAGCACCGGCUAACUUCGUG